RNAcentral lists this long non-coding RNA (2351 nucleotides) under Chrysemys picta bellii (western painted turtle). RNAcentral describes it as "lncRNA (ENSCPBG00000027836.1)". The record is from RNAcentral. Lineage: Eukaryota; Metazoa; Chordata; Testudines; Emydidae.
AUAGAUUACAGGGCAUUUAAUCUUCUUUAACCUCUCCUGCCUGUUCAAUUGGUUCAUUUGCUUUCAUUCAGAUAUCUGAAUUACUUUUAUGUAAAUAUAUAGCGUUCUCGGCUUCCUUUCAUGCGUAUUUUUUUUGUUUAAAAACAAAAGCAGCAAUUUAAAAAGGAUAAAGACAUGACUGAACAGAUCAGAUCCCACUUUCUCUGUUAUAAAGCAGGGUGUUAUCUCUUUGUGUGAUUCUAGGGACUCCAUUGCAAUAUCUCAGGGAAUUAAUUAAACGUUUUGUAGGCUCCUCAUGUACAAUUUUCUGAAUCUCCUAGUAUACCCCCAGCAUUUCAGAGUCACAAGGCCAGGGUGGUAUGUAAGGGAGUGUAUUUAGAAAGCCAAGAACAAGCCAUUCACUAUUGAAUUGUGCUAUUAUCUACAGGACUUACUGCCCUCGCUGAGCAGGCUAGGUGGCAAAUGAGGAGAUCUUCCACUCAGAGGACAAGGAGCCAGGACGACUUUUCAGUUCCCCAGCCCCAGCCCAUAGGGUGAUGGAAACUGGGUGAAUUUAAGGGAGGGAUAACUGAGUGCAGAGAAAAGAUGGGGAGGAGAGAGCGCAGGAACACUGGAAAAGGCAAAAUAGGAGAUGUCAGCACCCUCCCCAAGCUCAUUUCAAGCAAGUCCUUAGCUCUGAUUAUCUAGAACAAUGGCAGCUCAGGAUGGUAACAGUGAACAUAAAGCAGAAGCAGGCCAGGCACAGCCAUGUGAAUGCUGUCCUGCCUCAUUCCACUGGGGAACUAUAACGUAGGUUACCGACAGAGCCCAAUCCUGCUCCACUGGAGUCAGUGGCUCUGCGGUCUCGGUGAACAGCAGCACAUGGAGAAGAGCGACUUCUCCUUUCCCCUCAACUUCUCACGACACCUCAGCAAAUGCAGGCUCCUCCCUUGCAUUGCUCCUUACUCUGUGGAAAUCAUGAGGGUCCAGGCCAGCUCCUACGGCUGCGGGCUGGCUCCGGGAUUUCCUGCCAGCAUGUGCUGAGCGGGACUUGCUUAAAGGAGCCUCGCUGGCCAGGCCAUUUAGUUCCCAUGACGUCUGUAUUAUGGGUGCCAUAUGUCAGCCCACAGCUUCAUCUGCUCCCUCUCUGUCAUGUGGCUUUCACCUCCCCCACCCCCGCCCCCACACACACAUUUCAGAACCGUGGGGACCAAGCAAAUCCCUCGGCAGACUCAGUCGGCCUGCUCGGAGGUGUGCAGCUCUCUAAACUGCUUUCAUGCGCAGAGCCAGAGUUACUCAGCUCUCUAAGAGAGCACGGCUUCUAUCGAGGAAUGUCCAUGCUAGAGAGCCACAGGCGCCGGCUGACACACGCGCCGUGCUUCCCGCUCCCCAAAGAGAAAACGUUUUCCAUUGCCUGCGCUUUCGGAAAUACUCGAAUGCUGCUCAUGUGUGAGCAGACACUGUUCCCUGGAGCUGGCUGCGCCUGCCGGAGAUGCUGCCUUGCCUGGCACGAUGCCAAGAUUGAGAUACAAAGAGAGGCAUCGAAGUCAGCCUGGACUGUGCCGUGUAGUGUUACUUGAGUUACAUGGGGACCCUUGGAAGGGAUGACCAGAGGGUUGAGGAAGAGUUCUGCGGUGGAAGUCCACAGUGUGUUAGACAAUAAUGUUGCACUCCAUAUGAUUUUAUGAAAAUAUGCUAAUAAGUGUGAAUAUAAUGUAACUGGAAUAUGCUUCAUGCAAAAGGUCUCUUGUAAGGUAUCAUUACAAAGCUUAUAAUCUACUGAGUGUGUUCAUUUGUAUGAAUGUAUCAUUCUUGUAUCUGAAACCAGAAAUAUGAAAUAUAACUCUGAGGUCCUAUUGUAAUUAUGCAAAGUGUGGGCCAUUAUUGGUAGUUUCGAAUCUUGAUGGCUCCCAUUAACCAGGGCAAUUGACUGUAGAUGGCUCUGUUUACUUGCAAGCCUUCCUGUGAGUCAGGCCAGGAAAAAUGAAGGCUGGGGGUCUCCCAGGACAUGUGACCAUGUCACCUGGUAUUGGAAUCCAUCUUAAACCUGGGGCUUUUCCAUUUAGAAGAAGGACCCAGAGAAACAAAAGAUUCCCACCUUGUCCCCCCAAUAUAAGGGAGUGGAACAGAACAAAGGGGGCUGCAGUCAUGAGAAAUCCUCUAGCUACCACCUGAGAUGGAACAAGAAUUGUACUGGGGAAAGGAUUGGGCCCAGACUAGAAAGGAGUCUAGUCUGUGAAAGAAGCUUAUUUGAACAUCUCUGGGGGUGAGAUUUAAUCUGUAAUCAGUUUCUGAAUGUAUUAGGCUUAGACUUGUGUGUUUUUAUUUUAUUUUCCUUGGUAACUCACUUUGUUCUGUCUGUUAUUACUUGG